AAUUUUCCGCAAUGGGCGAAAGCCUGACGGAGCAACACCGCGUGAGGGAUGAAGGCCUCUGGGCUGUAAACCUCUUUUAUCAAGGAAGAAGAUCUGACGGUACUUGAUGAAUAAGCCACGGCUAAUUCCGUGCCAGCAGCCGCGGUAAUACGGGAGUGGCAAGCGUUAUCCGGAAUUAUUGGGCGUAAAGCGUCCGCAGGCGGCCCAGAAAGUCUGCUGUUAAAACGUGGAGCUUAACUCCAUCAUGGCAGUGGAAACUGUUGGGUUUGAGUGUGGUAGGGGCAGAGGGAAUUCCCGGUGUAGCGGUGAAAUGCGUAGAUAUCGGGAAGAACACCAGUGGCGAAGGCGCUCUGCUGGGCCAUAACUGACGCUCAUGGACGAAAGCCAGGGGAGCGAAAGGGAUUAGAUACCCCUGUAGUCCUGGCCGUA
Molecule: ribosomal RNA, 429 nt
Filed under: uncultured marine bacterium
Lineage: Bacteria
Description: bacterial SSU rRNA
Rfam family: Bacterial small subunit ribosomal RNA
Source: RNAcentral